GCUGAGGUAGCCUAGCCUGGUAUGGGCGCCAGACUCAUAAUCUGGAAGUCGCGAGUUCGAAUCUCGCCCUCAGCA
RNAcentral lists this transfer RNA (75 nucleotides) under Candidatus Freyarchaeota archaeon. RNAcentral's name for it is "tRNA-Met". It matches the Rfam family "tRNA". From Rfam's summary of the family: Transfer RNA (tRNA) molecules are approximately 80 nucleotides in length. Their secondary structure includes four short double-helical elements and three loops (D, anti-codon, and T loops). RNAcentral also lists the same sequence under 2 other names. The record is from RNAcentral. Lineage: Archaea; Promethearchaeati; Candidatus Freyarchaeota.